This 158-nucleotide non-coding RNA is filed under the name Alphaproteobacteria bacterium. Its description in RNAcentral is "6S RNA". It matches the Rfam family "6S / SsrS RNA". Rfam says of the family: E. coli 6S RNA was the first non coding RNA to be sequenced, but its function was unknown until recently. It consists of 184 nucleotides that fold into an extended hairpin structure with a large single-stranded internal bulge. Lineage: Bacteria; Pseudomonadati; Pseudomonadota; Alphaproteobacteria. The record is from RNAcentral.
AUCGGACUGCCGCUCGCGUGUUUAACCGCAUGUCUUCCGGGCCAACACUACUUACUAGGGAACUGUCACUGUCAGGAUCGUGGUCCUGUUAUAUGGUGCCCACCUUAUCUUGCGGGUAUCGGAUAGAAUGAUAAAAACACGGUUCGGGCGGUCCGCCU